GCGCCCAUAGCUCAACUGGAUAGAGCGUCUGGCUACGAACCAGAAGGUUAUGGGUUCAACUCCUGUUGGGCGCGCCA
Molecule: transfer RNA, 77 nt
Filed under: Mycoplasmataceae bacterium
Lineage: Bacteria; Bacillati; Mycoplasmatota; Mollicutes; Mycoplasmatales; Mycoplasmataceae
Description: tRNA-Arg
Rfam family: tRNA
About the family: Transfer RNA (tRNA) molecules are approximately 80 nucleotides in length.
Source: RNAcentral